RNAcentral lists this non-coding RNA (28 nucleotides) under Mus musculus (house mouse). Lineage: Eukaryota; Metazoa; Chordata; Mammalia; Rodentia; Muridae. The record is from RNAcentral.
UGGCUGUGGUUUCUUAGUUAUGACAUCA